UCAGCCAGGCAUAGCUGUGGAAGCUGUGGUUAAGGAAGCAUGAGAUUCAGUCCUUAAUGGGAGUGAUGUGUAUGAGGUCCCACGGCUGCCGACAGGGAAAGGAGACCGAGCAGACAGCAGAGAGGUGGAAGCAGCCAAGACCCAGAGGAGGCAGCCACAAAGGAACUGUGACUGCAGAAGCAGGGGCGGCCCUGGAUGAGGGAAUUCCUCACAGAGAAGCAGCAAGUGCCAAGGCAGUCAGGCAGAGAAGCACAGAGCACCGGGAGAAACAGCAUGGGCCCGCAUUUGGGACCUCAGUGGCAGGAACAUGGCGUGCCUGAAGGCCUGUGGACAGCAUCUUUGGCUCGUGAUUGACAGCGGAGAACGGAAACUGGGGAAGCAAACUAACAGAUAAGGGCGGCUGCUAUCCACACAGGACUAAUUGGGCUCCAGCUAUGGGGGCACCCGGCUGGCCUCCUCUACAUAAAGUCUCUCCUUGACCAGCUCUGAUGACAAAUGAGUCUGACAAGGAGGUCUCCUCUUCGAUUCACAUAAUUAAUUAUCCCUGGAGAAAUGGCCAAUUUAGGAGCACGUUUUUCUUUCUGAAGAGACAGGCCGGCGGACUAAGGGAAGGCAAAAGAAGUCCCACAAGCAGCCGAGCACAGACCCCCACAGCCGCAGGAUCAGCACUUGGAAGUCCUCGGAAACCUCCUUCGGAGGUUCGCGUUCUCCCCGAGGAUUUGGGAAGAAGUCGAGAGUGGUUAUUGUGCUAGUGACCGUGGAGGAGAGAACAGCAAGGCCGUUCUGCUGGGUGACGGUUUGAGAGAGAAGCAUUUCUGUGGGCGAGGAAAAGAGAGAGGGGAGGAGUCUCCAAACCCUGCUCCAAGCUGCUCCCAGCAGGACGGGGUCUCCUUCCCUCCCCGUCUUUGCUUCCCCUCCCCCAACUCUCUUUCUAAGCCCCUCUCCAAAAAGGUUUAUGGAGGAGUCUCCAAAUAGCCCCCUCUCCUGCAGGCAUAGUCACACCAACUGAAAGGAGAUUUAAUUAGCAAAAUCUCGUUAGGCAAACGAAAUUAUCCGUAAGACAAUACUCUUCUGGACAGGGGGUAUGAUUAAACAAAGCCAUUAAUUGAGAGAGUCGCUUUGGCAGCUCCCGAGUUGCGUUCAUCUCCGGGCAGGCUCCACUCUGCCUCCGUGGACCUGAGGAACAGACUCUUGGCCUCCUCCCCUUGCCUGCCUAGCCCACCUCCUUCCCACUUCAUCUCUGCUCUUCCCAGGGCCCCUCCGGUUAGGGCUGCAGACCUCGCAUCUCAUCAGCGGCCUCUCUGCUGCCAGAUUCCCGCUAAAGUGCCUUGAUUGCAUAAUGUCUAUUUGCAUAAUGUAAAUUGCAAUCUCCUAGCUUGGGAGGCAGGAAUCACAGAACAGCCAUUAUUUUUUACCACUCCACAAAAAUUCUACAUUUAGAAAGCAGAUUUGCAGCUCAGAAAGCCAUAUAAAUCUGAAUCCACCGAAACGCCAUUAAAUCACACCAAUUAGGCUGGACCUAUGCAGGGACCCUGUCACUGCUCUCCGCACACUCCAGCCCACAGGAGGCCACAGGACACUGGAGGCUGAGGCAGGCGGGGUGGAGGCAGAUGCUGAAAGGAUGAGGCAGGGAAUUCUAUCCUACAAACUUGAUCAGCACUCCCACGCACAACAUCCCUCUCAACACACACACACACACACACACACACACACAGAUGCGCCCACGCUGUUCCGAAAGGACCUGGUACAGCAAGGAGGGGAAGCCGGUCUGUGUUCUUCAGGUUCAUUGUCUGAUGUCUUGUAGGUUGCAGUCUGUCUUGGCUGCAGACUUUUUCAAAUGAUUAUUGUGAUUAUAUUUAGCGUCUCUGUAUAUGAUCAUUGCUUUAUCGUUGGCUUGGAACUGGCUCGGUGGACCAGGCUAGCCUCAGACGCACACAGAGAUUUGCCUGCUUCUGCCUCAGUGAUUGGGAAUUAAAGUGUGCACCAGCGUGCCCAUUUGUUUCAGACUUGUGACUUUGGAGAAGAAAGUGAAAGUGCGCCUCUAAUCAAAAGCAAUACCGGGUGCUUCACAGAGGAGUGAGAUCAAUUCCUAUCAAUGCUUUUUUUAACCUCCCCUCCUCUCCAGCCCUGGGGAAAGAAAAAGAGGCCAGGCAAAAACCUGGCUCUGAGUAGGCUGCUUGGGAUGGAGUCUGAGCUCCCUGAAGAGCCCUCUCUGUGGGUCCUCAGAAGGAGGGGUGAGUCGGAAGGAGGGGUGAGUCACGAGGUCUCUGGAAGUGCGGCGUUCCCUUGGACAAUUACCUAGCACUCCAGCUUUGCUGAAGCGGUAUACCUGGAUACUCUUCUGCCUCUUUAUUGCUCAUUCAAUAUUCAUUUGUCAAAGGGCAAGAUGCUAAUGUGUAUUAUUAAAAUAUCAAUAGUUUAUGAGUGAACUUUAUGGCAAGUACAGUUAAAGGCAAGAGUCUUGACCAUCUCUCAGAAGCAACAGAAAGGAGUAUUCUUUCUUUCUAGUGUCUUUCUUUCCCGUCCUUUUUUUAAAAUUUAUUUACUGAAUAAAUGAAUGGCACAAUUACGGUUGAGCACUGUGUGCCAGGAAUGACUCUGGAGUAUUCACAUCUGGUUUCCCCACAGUAGUCCUAGGGAGUGGACAUAAUACGAUUCCUUUAACUGUCCAAGUUUAACACAUUUCCUGACCUAAAUAUUAUGAAAGGGGGGGAAAAGAGGAAAUUAUUCCAUACCUCCAUGCCAGAGCGUCUUCAUAAAGCAGGCCCACUUUAACUGUACCUAAGUAAGUUCCCACACUCUCCACUCAGAAUCUGAAUACUGACGGUGACACUGGGGUUGAUGUCAUCAGACACUGUCUUGUUAGAGGAGAGUAAACUGAGACUCUUUCUUUUAAAUAAGAUUUUGUCAACAUAAUAAUUAUACAUAUUAAAGGGAGUUCAGUGAUUGUCUAUACACGCAUACAAUAUACACCGAGCAAAUAAUGAAGUAGUUUAAGUCUCAAUAACAGAGAGUUCUAAGUUGAAUUUCAACUGUGCCCCAGACCUCCUCCCUAUAGCAUUUCCCUUGUCCUCGGGGCCUUCUCUUCUUUGUACAUACAGAGCUAAUAACAGAACCCCAAGAAGUACGGUUUGAUGAGAAAUGCACCCCAAGGGCUUAGCACAGUGCCCAGUAUAUAGUAAACACUCAGCAGGCAUUGCUUACUAAUAUCAAAUUUGACUUCAUGUGGAAGGAAGCCAGACCCUAGAACCUUUCCAUCAAGACUAAGACCAUUUCCCCCCUCUCUUCCCUGCCUAGCUCUUGGCACUGGCCGUUCCCAAGUGUCAGCCCUUGUAAGAUGGACUGGUUCUGUUUCUACUCUUGGGUGACUUUGGGAUUUGUUUUUAUCCCUUAAGCCCCAAUAAAGCAGCCAGAGCACUCAUAUUCCCUUCAAAAUAUAGUAGCAUCUAUAUCCGGCAUGGGAAAGGGGAAUGAGAGUGGUUCCUUAAGGGUGCAGGCUCCCAGACCAGAGUGUGUGACAGAGGAAAAGGAGACCAGCAGAGGACUCAGAAGACCACGGAGAAGUUGGUGUGCAGAAUCCCCCACCCCAUCAGGUCCCUUGUAGUCUUUUAAGCUCCUAGCUUUGCCUGGAACCUCCCCCAGCUUUGAUAGCCAUCAAAAUGGAAAUAUGGGAAGCCUUGAUGUGAGCAAAGGGCUCAGGCUUGCAGAGUCCUUGUUUACAGGUCUAGAGUCUUCUAGAUCCAAGGUUUCCAGCUGUGGGUUAGAAACCCACAUUCUCCCUGGUAUGGACCACGAGGUCACAGUUUCUCCCAGCACAGGACCUCCUAGGUCUACCACCCCCUGCCUGGGAAGAAGCUGAGCUUGGCUUGGAGGGGGUUCCUAAGCUAAGGCUUCUUUCCAGGGUGUAAUGUAUAUUAUGGUGGUAAAUUGUCAUGCGUUGUUUAUGCUCACUGAGAAGCAGACUCUUGAAGCUAGGCUGUCCCUCAGCACACUUCAGAUCCAAGCAUGUUUAUGUGAACUAGCCUUUAAAACCCCUGUCCUGAAUCAGGCUGGCCGUUUGGUUCUGUGACAGGGAGAAAAAAACAGGAAGCAGCUAAGGGUAUUAAAAAACAUCAUGCCCUUGAGGAAAGCUUGAAGGCAAACCAUUUCCAACGGAGGUUACUAUUGUUUAUCCCACAAUGUAAAAAUGCCUCCAUGGGAACAAGAGGCCAGAAAUUCAGAAGUUAACCCGUGGGUGAAAAUCUCAACUGGGGACUCCAGCUGACUGCCUCAACCUCCCCAGUUGGUUUCUUCUGGAUGAUUGUAAGUACCUGGUUUGGUGACAUCAUCUUCCUGCUGUUAUUUGUUCUUUUAUUUGAAGUCUCACUCAAGGGGGCCCUUUGCUCUGUAUUGGACUCUCUCAGCUGUGAGCUGGCUGCCUCAAUGGGGCUUUCCCAGUCAGUUUCUACUGGACGUUUGUAUGCCCCUGAUUGAUGAUAUUACGAGUUGUUUGUGCUCUCUGUUGGGAUACUCCAAGUACCUCUACCACCUGAUUUGAGGAUAUCUUUUGCUAGCUGACUGCUGCUUCUGUUGCUACUCACUAUUUAUCUUUUAUCUUUUGUUUGCUAUCUGCUUAAUAAACUCAUUCCUUCAAAACCCAAA
Molecule: non-coding RNA, 4641 nt
Organism: Peromyscus maniculatus bairdii (prairie deer mouse)
Lineage: Eukaryota; Metazoa; Chordata; Mammalia; Rodentia; Cricetidae
Source: RefSeq, a predicted model, not a curated record